AGCAGUGAGGAAUAUUGGUCAAUGGGCGUAAGCCUGAACCAGCCAAGUCGCGUGAGGGACGACGGCCCUACGGGUUGUAAACCUCUUUUGCCGGGGGACAAACGGCGGCACGCGUGCCGUCCUGAGGGUACCCGGAGAAAAAGCAUCGGCUAACUCCGUGCCAGCAGCCGCGGUAAUACGGAGGAUGCGAGCGUUAUCCGGAUUUAUUGGGUUUAAAGGGUGCGUAGGCGGGAUGCCAAGUCAGCGGUCAAAUACGGGGGCUCAACCUGCGUCCGCCGUUGAAACUGGCGUUCUUGAGUGGGCGAGAAGUACGCGGAAUGCGUGGUGUAGCGGUGAAAUGCAUAGAUAUCACGCAGAACCCCGAUUGCGAAGGCAGCGUACCGGCGCCCGACUGACGCUGAAGCACGAAAGCGUGGGUAUCGAACAGGAUUAGAUACCCUGGUAGUCCACGCAGU
This 455-nucleotide ribosomal RNA is filed under the name uncultured bacterium. RNAcentral describes it as "bacterial SSU rRNA". It matches the Rfam family "Bacterial small subunit ribosomal RNA", at positions 350 to 803 of the family's 1533-position model. The record is from RNAcentral.